GCUGGCGUAGCUCAAUGGUAGAUCAGCAUAUUUGUAAUCAGCAGGUUGGGUGUUCAACUCCCGUCGCCAGCUCCA
Molecule: transfer RNA, 75 nt
Filed under: Candidatus Zhuqueibacterota bacterium
Lineage: Bacteria; Pseudomonadati
Description: candidate division KSB1 bacterium tRNA-Thr
Rfam family: tRNA
About the family: Transfer RNA (tRNA) molecules are approximately 80 nucleotides in length. Their secondary structure includes four short double-helical elements and three loops (D, anti-codon, and T loops). Further hydrogen bonds mediate the characteristic L-shaped molecular structure. tRNAs have two regions of fundamental functional importance: the anti-codon, which is responsible for specific mRNA codon recognition, and the 3' end, to which the tRNAs corresponding amino acid is attached (by aminoacyl-tRNA synthetases). tRNAs cope with the degeneracy of the genetic code in two manners: having more than one tRNA (with a specific anti-codon) for a particular amino acid; and 'wobble' base-pairing, i.e. permitting non-standard base-pairing at the 3rd anti-codon position.
Source: RNAcentral